GAAUAAGUUCUUCAAUUCUUCUUUCUAUCUUUCUCUCUAUGAUCUUCUACAAUUCUUCACGAGUUGCUUUUGAUGAUGGAUCACAUUAUCAUAAGGUAUGUCAUUAAUUUGUUAUUGUUAUCAUCUUAAAUCUCUCAAAGAAUCCAUAUUAUAAUUCAUACAAUUUUGAAUAGAUUGAGAUUUAUAUAACUAAUAUUGUUGUGUUUUCGAAUCUAAGUAAACGAGCUUAAAGAAAUGCUACAAAAUUUUAGAAUGUAGAAACUGCUUCAUAUGAGUCGACCGUCCAAUUGAUUUGUCACGUUCAGUUUUUCGUUGGUUUACUUCAAUGGGUCGAUGCCAAUCUUAUGUUUAUUUUUGUUGUUGAGAUAUCAUAAUCAAAUAAUUCGUUAAAAAGUGUUUAAUUUCAUCUCAUAUUGUAGUUCAUAACUUUUGGGUAUACCACUUUGCAUUGUCUUUAUUAUUGUGUUAUUUGACCAGUUUGAUAUGAUGUGGGUUUCUUUACAACCAUGAAUAUUUAUUUUUUGAUCGGUUUAAAACCUACUCGAAUUUCUUUUAAGUUUUCUCAUUGGAAAAAUGAAAAAGUUUCCAUUAGUAUUAUUAAAUUAGAAGAUGAUAAGUUUCCAUUAGUAUUAUUAAAUUAGAAGAUGAAAAGUUACCAUUGGUAUUAUUAAAUUGGAUUUAUCACAACAUAUAAAUGAAUAUUCAUAUCUUAGUUUUUUUUAAUUGUAGUAUUAAUAUGAAAAGUUUCAAUGAAUGGUUUCAAUUAUUUAAUUUUAUUAUAUUAUUUAAUGAAUCUUGCUUUAUGUCUAUAUAAUUAAAUUAUUUGUGUAUGGCAUAUAACUCAGUAUUUUUGUUCUCAAGAUAUACUUUAUCUUACUUAAGCUUAAUUACUUUAUACUUUUAAUUAUGGGAUAAGAACUCGCUAAAAUCAGUAUAUUAUUUUAAAGGUCUUUGCUAUUAGAUAAACAUGGAGUUGUAUUCUCACACAUAUAUUAGUUUCUAUCUUAUGUUUAGACAAAAUAUGUAACUUUAGAAAAUUAUUGUUAAUCUAUUUGUCUUGUUUGUACAUUAAUAACACAUGCCUUAAAUGAUAAGAAUGAUCAAACCAUAUAAACAUAUUCUAAGUCGAUAUUAGCUUUUAUUACACGUAAAGCGCAUUUUUUCAAAUUGUUGAUUCAUGAACCAAAACUAUUUUGUAACAUGUGUUAACUGAAUUGCAUAAUAUUUCAAUAUCAACUAAAUCAACUAAGAAGUUUAUAAUUGUGCAUGAUAUUAUCACAUAUUAUUUGGUGUAACUAGUAGGUUUCUUUAUUUCGUAUUGAAUAUACUAUAUAGAUGUUUCUAUUUUUUUAAUGUGAGAGCAACAAAUAUUAUUAUAAGAUAUGCAUGUGAUUGGUUAUGCCAUGAUAGGUUAAUACAUAAUUUAUAUAUUUUACUUGAAUGUGAUGACAUAUUAUUAUUUCAUAAGGUUUUAUUAUAACCUUGUUUUAUUUGAUGACAUGUUAUAAUGUUAUGUAUUACUUGAUUUAACUUUGUAAUAUAUGUUAUAUAUUGUUAGUAUGUAGAUAUUUUUUUGGAUAAAUUAAGCAAAUGAAAAACCAAAAUUUGUGAUUUGCCAUUACUCUCAAAAAAUAUUAUAAAUAUGUUCACGUAUGACAUUCAACGUGUGUCAUACUCUCUGAAAGGUCGUCAUAUGUUGACCAAUAAAUCUUAUACAAGUCGGUAAUGUAAGUUUUUCUCAAAUUAUAUAUUAAUGAGAAAAGAAGAUUGUUUU
Molecule: long non-coding RNA, 1774 nt
Filed under: Helianthus annuus (common sunflower)
Lineage: Eukaryota; Viridiplantae; Streptophyta; Magnoliopsida; Asterales; Asteraceae
Description: hypothetical non coding rna
Source: RNAcentral